AAAAUUUUACUACGUAUUAUUUUAACUUUCUAUCCAAAUAACUUUUCAGCGAAAAAAAUAUUCCCUCCUAUUCCUUAAAAUAUUUCCGCCUAUUCUUUGGACUUAAGUUCGGAAUACUUUUGAAAUUAUUUUAGCAAUAGUAAACACUUCUCAUCGUCGCUGCCCUACCGCCAUUGCUAUCUGUCUUCUCUAUUUUACCGUCGCCAGCCACCAAUCCCAGGUAACACAAAUGAUAUCUCUCUCUCUCACUGAUAUAUAAAUAUGUAUAUAAAAUUUUGCAGAGUUUGGAUGGGAGAGAGAUCUGGGUAAAUGUUGCUGAAGAUAAAUCCAAGCGCAGCUAUGAGUCUUUCAAAAUUUUGAUUUAGGUAUUUCUUUUUUGCAUUUGCUGUAAGUUUUGAGUCUCGACUUGCAAAUUUCUUAUAAGAUAAUGUGUUUAAUGAUGUUUUUCCUUUAUUUUGCUUUUUGGGAGCGUUAGAUUGGUGAAUGAAUGUUUGUGACAUGCGAAAUUCGCCUUCCACUUGUAUGUUAAAUUACUGUUUCUUUUAAGCCGUGGUGUGCUCAAGUAGCUAGAUGAAACCAGUAAAUAUAGAAAGUUUUGGAGUAUUUAAAGUAGUAACCUUUUGUUAUUAACUGACUUCUAGGUACUCGACCUUUUGCCUCACUAGGAUUUGCUCGUAUUCAUUAUAAAAAGUUGUAUGCUCAGUAUCUAAGCAACUAUCUUUGUUUUUCUUUUUUUUCCAUUACUGUUUCUUUUGUGGCAUAAUCUGUGUUUCUUACUCCAUUUCACAUAUGGAAGAACUAACAAAAAAAUAUUGCAAUUUUAUAUUUUGUACAAUGAAAUAGAGUGAGAGCAACUGAAGAUUCAACAACUGUUCUUUUAGUUUGAUGCCAAGAUACUCAUCAAGUUAGUUCCUUAUUAAGAUCGAACAAUUCUUUGAGGCUACCUUGUUAGGAAGAGUAAUCAGAGAUUUGAAGAAAAAUGUAGAAUAGUUUGUUGAGACACUUAUGAUAGGUCGUGUUAGCUACUUACUGCCACUCAGAUUUUACUACCACUAAGCACUUUAUCUUUUAGUGCUUAGAAAAACUCUAGAGUCUCAAGUGUGCUUUGGACAAAUUGAUACAUCAUGAGUUUAUCGGAGAUUCUUGAGUCCGAGAAAGACACUUCACGAAAAGCUAAGUAUUUUUAACAAGUAAUUCAACAUUCCAAUAUGUUAGCUUGCUGCCACUCAAAUUUUAUAGUCACUAAGCAUUUUACUAUAUAGUGCUUCAAAGAAAACUCUAUAGUGUAUUAGGUAAAGAUCAGAUAUAUCAUGAGUUUAUUGGAGAAGUAGAGUAUUUGUGGUAUAUAACUUGUUCAAGGCAUAUUUAUGAGAGAAAUAAACAUUCAAUGUAAGGGUAAAGUGUUUAAGGUUUUUAUGUGGAUUUACUGUUCGUCUAGUUUCUCAAGGUUCAUGCUUUAUUGCACAGAAUUUGUUUUCUUGAGAAAGAUUUUGGCAACUAUUAAGUGGCCAUUUAGAUAUUAAUCAUUCUCCUUUUUUUCUUUCUAUUUAAUGUGUUAAAUUGAACCAAAUUGCAUUUAAGUCACAUAAGAUCUUGUUAUAAGAACUUAAAUUUCCCUUUGAUUUGAAUACAACCAUACUAAUACCUUAUUGCCUAUUUAUUUGCAGGCUCGAAUUAAAAAGAUUAUGCAAGAUGAUGAGGAUGUGCGGGUGAUUAAUGGCAUGGUUGUCCCUCUUUUAAUCUGUAAGUGCUCUUGAAAAGUCACAUAGUUCAGUGAACUAAGUUAACAUCUUUUAGUUCGUAUUAUCAUGUAUGAAGUAGGAUUUAAAGAAAUCUUGGUAGAUUAUGCUCAGUUCACGCUAAGGAGUUUGAGUUGUCUUGUUUGAUUUAACAAACUUCAUAUGGUAAUUAAGUUCAAAUAAUACAAAAUACUCAUACUGUUAGGACCCAUAACAUUGAAAUGGAGGGUGUUUUUGAUGAAGCAUUUGUUAGCCUACUCAUAAAAAUUUCAGGACUACAAUAGAAGACAUUUUAAUAUUUUAUACAAUUGUACCAGAAAGAAUACAUACACAAUUCAAGCUAAUUAAGAUAUGUCAUCAAAGAAAGAAAACACAUCAUUUAUCGCAUACGGGAAGGCAUAUCAAUUAACUUAGCAUGUUAUCUAAGUAGGUAUCUUUGAAAUAUAUAAAAAACAAUUGACGGUCAAAACUAGAAUGCUACAUUUGUAAAAUGUUCUUAUGAGCAGCAGACUUUGAUCUAAAUAUUUGGUAUUGCUCACUAAAUUUUGAUUUAUAUGCUUUCCUCAACAUUUUACUAAAUAACUUUGAGCCAACACAGAAAACUCUGCCUUAUAUAGACAUUUUGGCUUCUUUAAUUCAUAACUUUUGUUGUAUGCUGGAGCAAAAAAUCUGUGUAUAGGCCCCAUUUUAGUUUUCUUUAUCUUUUCAGAUGUAGAUGUAGUUAAUUGUUGAAUUUAUCUACCACUUUAUACCUAUAAUAAUUCUGCCUAGAAUAAAUUGGGCAGCUUUGUUUUAUUAUCCAUACUGAAAUUUAGUUGCUUAAUCACUGGGAAGGCAAAAACGAGGAAUAUGUUAGAAAAGGUUUAUGUCAAUAGGUGAGAUAUUAUUUUAUGUAUAUGUAAUCAGUUUGCAUGAGCAUUAGAGUUCUAAUUUUAACUUUGGCUUUUUAUUUUUUACUGUCUAUUCAAAAAAUUGUCUAUUCUGCUAAUUUUAUCAACUAUAGAGAAGCCUCCCUUUUUAACUUGUGAGAAUUUGUAAGCAUGCCAAACAAAAUAUGUUUCUUUUUAGAAUCUAGAAGCUACUGAUAAUAAAAAAAUUCAAAGAACAAAGGAAAGGGUGAAAGAUAUACUAUUUUGAGAAUGUAAAUGUCCCAUAAUUAUUUUUUGAUUAUUGAUGGAUCUCACAUGUGGUUGUACGUAUACUCUUUUAUUUUAUCAUUUCACGUCAUACAUUAUGAUAUUUAGGAAUUUGGCAUGUGGAAAGCUUCAUUGUGAUCAAGAGCUUGAGAAUCUCGUGAUUCUUAUUUUCUAGUUUGUAGCCAUUUGAUAACAUAUUAUCAAAAGCUGAUAAUAGUAAUUAGAUUCAAAUAGCUUAGCUUUUUUAUUAUAUUGUCAACAUUUUGAAAUUGUGAAUUAGUAGUUGUUUUUGUUUGAUGUGGAUUUCAUGAAGUGAAUUUAGCAUUUCGAAAUGGAUUAGUAUUAUUUACUUUUAAUUGCAAUAAGAAAAAUUGGUAAAAGGUCUUCCUGGAUGGUAAUAAGAUAAAUUUACAUCGGCUAUAACAAAAAUUCGUUAUAUAUGUGAAAGAAGGUAUAUGCAUGAAUAGUCGAAUGGCCAUAAUAUUUGUCACCAGAUGGGGUUCCUUCUACUACCAAUUAAAUUGGUCUUUAGCUAUAAUAGUAAAAGCUGCAAAAUGUAUUAUAUAUGGAAUUUUUGGGGAGCUUUAGUGGCAAUUAUAAUUGUCGGUAAAUAAUUAUAGCUAAAACUAGUACACAUAUACUGGCCAUAAUAGCGGUCUUUACCAGCAUUUGAUCAAAUGGUCGCUAAAGCCUUUGUCGACGCCAGCUACAAAGGCGUAUGAUUAAUUGCUGGUAAGUAUUUUUGCGGCUAUUUGUAUUGCCGCUAAAUAGCAUUUUUAUAGCCGCUAAAAGCCUUUUUUGUUGUAGUUAGGUAGGUGAGUCUUGGUUCUUUAUCAAUGCCAAGGUUAACUUCUUUUAAGGCAUCAAUUGUUGUCUUCACCCCUUCUUCAAGUUCAGGUGGAGCAUCUUUCGCAUCUUCAUCUUCUUGAGAGUCCCCAUCAUUGAAGGAUAUGUGAUAACACGGUGAAUCAUCCUCCAAUUUCUCAUCAUCCUCCAUUAGAGAUGAAAUAGCAUUCUCGCCUUGUGUAGUAACAUGAUACGAAGAACCCACACUUUCUUCAUCUUCGUCAUGUUCCUUAGUGUAGACCACAAUAUAUGGCUUUACCUUCAAUACUUCUUUACAUAAAACCACAAGUUUUGUUUGUCGCCUCAUUCUAGAAGGAACCAAACUUUGGAAAUCCUUAGAGAUCUUCUGGAUUCUGGGCGAAGCGGGUGUUCUUAUGCUUUGAUAAUUUCUCUAGAACUUGUUCCCCUUAUUUAAUGGACCCAAUUUCUCAAAUACGGAAGUCCUCACAGUUGAUUUUCCAAGUCGAUCAAAGACAGAAGGCCUGUUAGAAGCGACAGAUUUAUCUUUUACAGUGAUAUAAUAGUUGCUCACCCUUCUAAUAGAGAUGCGCACUAGUGACAGUUACUUGUAUCCCAAACCUUCCUGUGGUUGCCUUGUAGUAGCUUCUGAUGGGAGCUUCCUUAACUUUGAUGACUGAUUAGGAUUGUAUCCAGCGUUUGCAAAUAGCCUGUAAGCAUUAAGAUCAAAAUCUUCAUCUAUUCGCUUUGUAGGUAGUGCCACAUUCUACAAAUGAUUUUGGGCCACAAACCCUGCAAGUAGCGUUGAGGACAACUUUACUGCUUCAAUUCGUUUAACCGGAAGAGAUAACCCCUUUAGCAUGUUUGUUUGGAGAUUAGAUUAUUCACCUUCAUCUUUCUUCUUUCUAGGAACAUAUUGGAGUGCAGAAGUUACUUUCUUGCCGUGAGAAACAAUGUUCCCUUUAUGAGAAUUAUUUGUGUCAGGGUGUACUUACUCGGUAACAACUUUGGUUUUGUCGGCAGCCACCUCAGCUCUUUCAGUCGUGGACUCAUCAUUCUUUCCCUUCAUGACAUCAUCAGCUUUUAACUCCUUCACAAUGUGGUUCUUUAAGUAGAACUUUACAUCGGCGAAGUGUGACUUAGCCUCGUUGAAUGGCUCGUCAUCAGAAACUAUCUUUUUCUCGACAUCACCCUCGUAGUACUUCAAAUAUUGAUGGUAGGCAAAUGAAACCACUUAAUUCUCAUGUAUCCAAGGCCUUCCAAGAAAUAUGUUGUAUGAAGUCUUUGUAUCGAUCACAUGCACUCAUGCACUUGAUUGCAUAUCUUCAAUGGUGAUCCCCAACCUGAUCGCAUUUAUGGCUCUGUGCCCCCUUGGUUGAAUCCUUGAAUCAUCACAUGACUUUUGGAGAGUUUGUUGAUGAGAAUACCAAGUUAUUUCACAGUGCGAAUUGGCAAGAUGUUCACUGAGGAUCCUCCAUCAACCAAAAUUUGAUUUACCUUUUCAUUGUGCAUAUGGCCAACCAGGUACAACAGGCGGUUAUGAGGAGUGUCACCUAGUAGAAGAUCAUCAUUUGUGAAUGUAAUUUUUUCCUCGCAAGUAUUAACUUCUUUAGGAAUGGACUCGAUAAGCUUUUCUGAAGAUGGUGCCAACGGUAGGUCAUCACUCUUUUCUUCCCCUUUAUCAGCAUCGCAAUAAGAGGCCUCAAUACCAUCACGAGAAAUCUUCAUAUAGAACCAAUAUGACAAGAAAUCCUCCAAGGUCACUGGAUGUCGUGGCUUUUGACGGUGGUGCACCUCCACUUUUGCUUUCUUCAAGCGCCUAACUGGAUUCUGUUUCCUUGAUCUUUUUACCAUUAUUUUCCUUAUUGGUUGUUCUUUUGAUUCUUUUUGUGGGCUUCUUUUGUGGCGCCUUCGACGAGCCACCAACGUCCAACCUUUAUUAUCAUCAGGCUGAUCAACUUCAACUUUGUUGUUCUCCAAUAAUUCUUCAUAUAUACUUUCUUUGAAACUACAUAUUUCAUAUGGAUUGAAUGAGCCAAAGGUGAUAGAGACUUGGUUUGUGCUUGCUUUCUCAUCUUUAAGCACGAUCUUUUUUUCACGAGCCAAGUCCAUAACUUUGUCCUUGAAGAUAAAACACUUCUCAUGAUGGUGGCUUACAAGUCGAUGGUAUUUGCAGUAAUUUGGGUUAUUCGUUUUCCCAGCUUUAUUCGGCCGCUUCAUCUACGAAAGCUCAAUGAGCUUUAACUCGAGGAGUUCUUCAAAAAUUGCUGACACAUCAGAAUCCAAAAAUGAGUACUCUUUCUCUUGCAUUUCUUUUAGAGUUAACUUUCCACUUGGCUUAUCUUGAAAAUAUGUGGAUUUCAUAUUCUACUUCUUGCUCACCUUCGUUUUGAAUUUCACAGGUGAUGUGUUGACAUUCAUAGUUUCUUUGUUUUCAGGCUUGGGUACAAACUUGCUCAAUUGCUUGACUUCUUGCUUGUUGUUCCAUUUACGAGGCUCAUAGAUGGGCAGCCUUUCAUUUCCAGCGGAGGCCAUGCUCAACUCCAUGUCAUGGGUAUGAGUUGCAAGUUCUUCAAAUGUGCUAGACUUGAUACCUUGAAAUAUAUAGUGCAGCCCCCAGUGCAUGCCUUGGAUUCCCAUUUCUAUGACAGAAGCUUCACUAAGCCUGUUUUUGCAGUUGAGGCUUGCAUUCCUCCAACAAUUGAUAAAGUCGAUAGCUGGUUCACCCUGUCGUUGACGAGUAUUUCUAAGUUCUAUCAUACUUACAAUAUGUUUCCUUGUCACGAUCCGAGUUCGCCCUUCGUGAACUGUCGUGACGGAACCUAGUCUCUACGAUUAGGUAAGCCUAACAAAUUAGGGAAAAAGGAAACAAAAGAUAAAUCCAGCCAAAACUGCGGAUAAAAAAACAUAAAUAAACGUUUAAGAUGCCGCUUGGCAUAUACAAUACAAACUCUCAAACAAAAAAGAACUCCCUAAACCUGGAAUCUCAUGAAUUCACAAGUUGUUGAAUGACUACAAGUGUUCUAAUCUCCAGAAUGUCUAUACAAAAGUAAAUACUGGAAAGCUAAAGCUAGAGGGGAGAAUAGAGAGGGACUCCUCGGUCUGCGGACGCGACAGAUAUACCUCCAAGUCUCUGAAGGUCGCCUCACCUCACAGAUGGUAUGGCUGUGUCGAAGAACCUGGAUCUGCACAUGAAAACAUGCGCAGGAAGGGCAUGAGUACACCACAGCGGUACUCAGUAAGUGCCAAGCCUAACCUCGGUCGAGUAGUGACGAGGAAAGUCAGGGCCCUACUGAUUAUAGAUGAAAAACAAGGUAAGACAGUAUAGAAUGUGACAAUAUAAUUAAAUACUAUUAGUAUGAAGUAACACAGGACAAUAAGAAUAACAAAUACAACGGAUAGAAAAUUAUAGAAAGAACGUAACUCCGCAUAUAGAUAGCAACCGUGGAUCUACCAGGAUACCGUCCUGUAGUCCCCAAAUAUAAAUAUCCAGUGGAUCUCCUGGGUGACGUCUCGUAGUCCAAAUCAUAAAGGUGCAAAGGAAACUCCCAGAAUACCAAUCCAUAGUCCCAAAUGUAAAUACCCAGUACUGGGGGAAUCUACCGGGUGCAAUCCCGUAGUUCCAAUAUAAAUGUGCAGGGGUAUCUACCGGAAUACCGAUUCGUAGUCCCAAAGUAAACAAGCAGGGGGAUCUCCUGGGAUAUCGUCCCGUAGUCCUAAAGUAAACACACAACCGUCUCAGAAGUAUACACAGUUCUAUUCAAGAAUUAAAUAGGAAAUUUCUACUCUAACAUGCUGCACAGAGUACAAAUAGGCAAUUAAGGCAGGUAAGACAAUUAAGUCACGUAAGCAUGCUUUUCCUAAUCUAAACAAGAGUCUUCAAGUACAAGUAUUUGCUAAAUUACAAGAAAACAUAGGUAUUAGUUUAAUGAAAAUGGGAGUUCAACAAUUAGCACGUGCACACACUCGUUACCUCACGUACAUGGCACUCAUAUAACAAAAUACCAAAUCCUAAAGGGAGUUCCCCCACACAAGGUUAGGUAAGCCACUUAUCUCGAAUCAGCUUAAUCAACUCGACAUCACGUUCUUGCCACGAGUACCCGAUGUCAAAUGGCCCAAAUCUAUUCAAAUGAAUUGUAUAAUGUAAAUAUAACUUCAAGUAACCAAUUCCACUAAUUAAAUUGAAGCUAACACGCGAAAUUAAGAAAAUCGGCCAAAAAGUCCCUUGGGCCCAUGUCUCGGAACCGGAUAAAUUUACAAAACUAGAAUCCUUACACUCUCACGAGUUCAUGCAUACCAAAUACAUCAAAAUCGGACCACAAACAACCUCUCAAAUCCCCAAUUCCAAGUCUCCAAUUUCAAACCCUAAACCCCCAAUUCUAACCAUUAUUUUCCUUAAAUUUCUUGCCAAAUCAGUAGAAUAAUACCAUAUAAACAAGUUUGGGUUCCAAAAAUCUUACCUCCUUGAAGCUCCCUUGAAUCCUCUCUCAAAAACCUCCCAAAAAGCUCAAUUCUCGGAUAGAAAUGGUAAAAGAAUAGGCUAGAAUUGCGACAGAAACCUUAUAUAGGUUCUGACCCAGGGUUUCCGCACCUGCGACCAUAUCCUCGCACCUGUGGACCCGCACAUGUACCUCGAGAGGGGAGAAUAGAGAGGGACUCUACGGUCUGCGGAUGCGGUAGAUAUACCUCGAAGUCUUUGAAGAUCGACUGAUGGUAUGGGUGAGCUGAAAAACCUGGAUCUGCACAUGAAAAAUAUGCGCAGGAAGGGCAUGAGUACACCACAACGGUACUCAGUAAGUGCCAAACCUAACCUCGGUCGAAUAGUGACGAGGAAAGUCAGGGCCCUACUGAUUAUAGAUGAAAAACAAGGUAAGACAAUAUAGAAUAUGACAAUAUAAUUAAAUACUAACAGUAUGAAGCAACACAUGACAAUAAGAAUAACAACAAAUACAACGGACAGAAAAUUACAGAAAGAACGUAAAUCCACAUAGAGAUAGCAAUCGUGGAUCUACCAGGAUACUGUCAUGUAGUCCCCAAAUAUAAAUAUCUAGUGGAUCUCCCAGGUGUCGUCCCGUAGUCCAAAUCAUAAAGGUGCAAGGGAAACUCCCAGAAUACCAAUCCGUAGUCCCAAAUGUAAAUACUCAGUACUGGGGGAAUCUACCGGGUGCAAUCCUGUAGUUCCAAUAUAAAUGAGCAGGGGGAUCUACCGGGAAUACCGAUUCAUAGUCCCAAAGUAAACAAGCAGGGGGAUCUCCCAGGAUAUCGUCCUGUAGUCCCAAAGUAAACACACAACCAUCUCAGAAAAAUACACAGUUCUAUUCAAGAAUUAAACAGGAAAUUUCUACUCUAACAUGCUGCACAAAGUACAAGUAGGCAAUUAAGGCAGGUAAGACAAUUAAGUCACUUAAGCAUGCUUUUCUUAAUCUAAACAAGAAGCUUCAAGUACAAGUAUUUGCUAAAUUACAAGAAAACAUAGGUAUUAGUUUAAUGAGAACGGAAUUUCAACAAUUAGCACGUGAGCGCACUUGUCCCCUCACGUACACAACACUCAUAUAACAAAAUACCAAAUCCUAAGGGGAGUUCUCCCACACAAGGUUAGGCAAGCCACUUACCUCGAACCAGCUCAAUCAACACAUCACGUUCUUGCCAUGAGUACUCGACUCCAAAUGACCCAAAUCUAUUCAAAUGAAUUGCAUAAUAUAAAUAGAACUUCAAGUAACCAAUUCCACUAAUUAAAUUGAAGCUAACAUGCGAAAUUAAGAAAAUCGGCCAAAAAGUCCCCCGGGCCCACGUAUCGGAACCGGAUAAAAUUCCCAAAACUAGAAUCCUUACACUCUCACGAGUUCAUGCAUACCAAAUACAUCAAAAUCGGACCACAAACAACCUCUCAAAUCCCCAAUUCCAAGUCUCCAAUUUCAAACCCUAAACCCCCAAUUCUAACCAUUAUUUUCCUUAAAUUUCUUGCCAAAUCAGUAGAAUAAUACCAUAUAAAUGAAUUUGGGGUUCCAAAAAUCUUACCUCCUUGAAGCUCCCUUGAAUCAUCUCUCACAAACCUCCCAAAAAGCUCAAUUCUUGGAUAAAAAUGGUAAAAGAAUAGGCUAAAAUCGCGACAGAAACCUUAUAUAGGUUAUGGCCCAAGGUUUCCGCACCUCCGGCCAUAUCCUCGCACCUGCGGUCCCAGGUGCGCAUCUACGAAAAUCAACUUAAAGUACUAGGCCGCACCUGCACUUCUUCUACUGCACCCGCGGUCUCGCAGGUGCGCUCAACCUAUUGCACCUGUAGAUUCUGGUUUCCAAGCGCCUAUCCGCAUCUGCAGCUCCUCCAUCGCUUCUGCGAUCACGCACCUGCAGUCCCCUAACCACAGGUGUGGUUAUGACAAAACUUCAUCCAAGCUUCAGAUUAUUCCUAAGUCCAAUUCAACUUUCGUUAAGCACCCGAAACUCACCCGAGGUCAUCGGGACCUCAACCAAAUAUGCCAAUCAAUCCUAAAACAUCAUACGAACUUAUUUCAACCCUCGAAUCAUAUCAAACAAUGCUACAACCACAAAUCGCUCUCCAAUCCAAGCCUAAGGAUUCUCAAAAUUUCAAAUUCCGCUUUCGAUCAAAAAGUCUAUCAAACCUCGUCCGAAUGACCUGAAAUUAUGCACGCACGUCAAAUUCAUCACUACAGAGUAACUCCAACUCUUGGAAUUCCUUUCUGAUCCCUAUAUCAAAAUCUCACUAUCGAACCGAAAACUUAAAAAAUUCAACUUUCGGUAUUUCAAGCCUAAAUAAGCUACGUACCUCCAAAACACAAUCAGAAUACGCCCAUAUGCCUGAAAUCACCCAACGGAGCUAACGAGACCAACGAAAUUCAAUUCUGAGGUCGUUUUCACACUGCUCCGACUAUAGUCCAAAUUUUGAAGCUUAAACUCUCUUUUAGGGAAUAAGUGUCUCAAAACACUCCGAAACCCAAAACGAAUACUCCCGGUAACUCACAAUAGCAGAAGCAAAUACGGGGAAAGCAAUUAAUAGGGGAUCGGGACGUAAAUUCUUAAAAUGACUGGCCGGGUUGUAUCACUCGUGCUAUAAAAGCAAUUGAGGAACUCUUGUUUGAGUUGAUCUCAGUUAUCAAUAGAUCCAGCCUCGAGGUCUGUAUACCAAUCAAAAGUAUUUUAUUUUAGUGAGCGGACAAACUACUUGACGAGGUAAUCUCCAUAAGUCCCAGCAUUUGUUGCACGUCUCAACGAAGUGCGCCAAAUAUUGCUUUGGAUUGCCUUUGCCAUCAAACUGUUGAAAUUUUAUAGGUUGAUAGCCAGCAGGCAUCUUCAACAUAUCGAUCCUUGAAGUGCACAACUUUGCGUAGGUAAGGGAGGACUUGGAAGCAACUCAUAUAUGUUUUUUAUAGUCCCUUCAAUGAACUCUUUUAGUUGAUUGAUUGGAAUCAUCCUUUCUGGAGAGACUAGAAUUUUCUUAGUGGAUGCAACUUGUCAUGGGGGAGGAUCAAUCUCUUGAACUUCUAGGACCUUGCCAUGUGCAUGGGUGGAUUCUUCUUCCAUCAAGAUUCCCACAUUGUCUGUUAGCUUGUCAAUCUAGCAUCUUGAUUUUUCAUGCAUUUGGUCAAGCUAGAAAUUGCUUCCAUCAAGUUUACCAACUGCUCCUCUACCGAUAAAGCGUUUGUCACCAUGGCUUGCAUGAUUGUUGUGGAUGAUGUGGAGUAGCAUGGAUUGUCACAUAGAUUGAUCCUUGAUUGGCUUACCUUAUGCGUUGUAAGUGGGGAGGAUCCAUCACUUGAAGCAUCACCAUUUUCCUUCACAACAGAGUUCUUGGAUCCGAAGAGGUGAAGCAGAGCAAGAUUUUUCUUAAUCUUUUCAGCAACAUUGCUUCCUCCUUCGGGUGCGUUUGUGGAAGAUAUUGCUCCUUUUGAGGAUGAAGAUCCGAAAACAGGGGUUGUCCUAAAGAGUUUGCCUUACUCCUUGUAUGUGAUGACCAAAGGGCCAUCUCUUGUUUUAGAAGUCAAAUCCGUGUUCUGAGGCCUUAAAAACCUCCUUUUAUCUCUCCUCGAUUUGCGUGUGCAGUCGGGGCGUGUAUUCGGAAAGCCUUUAUGUGAAAAUUUUAGAAAAUGAUGAUUUUUGGCUUAAAAAUAUGAUUUUAGUUGACUUUGAUUAAUAUUUUGGGUAAACGGAUCCGGACCCGUGUUCCAAAAAUCCCGGAGGGUCUGUAGUAAAAUAUGGGAUCUGGGCGUAUGCCCGGAAUCAAAUUCCAAGGUCCCUAGCCCGAGAAAUGAAUUUUUGAAGAAAAUUGAUAAGACUGAAAUGCAAUAAUUUAAAUGAUUCGAUCUUGUUGGUAUCGGUCGUAUUUUGGUUCCGGAGCUCAGUGCAGGUCCGUUAUAAUAUUUAAACCUUAUCUAUGAAAUUUGGUAAAAAACGGAAGUGAUUUGACGUGAUUCAGACCUUUGGUUGAGAAAAUAGAGAGUUUGAAACAAUCUUGAAAAUUUCAUAUGUUUUGGUGUUGAAUUCAUAGUUCUAGAUGUUAUUUUGGCGAUUUGAUCGCAUGAGCAAGUUCGUAUGAUGUUUUAAGACUUGUGUGCAUGUUUGGUUUGGAGCCCCGAGGGCCCGGUGAGUUUUGGAUAGGUUAUGGAAUGAUUUUGGAGUUAGGAAAAUGUUGUGGGUAUGCUUCAGCUGUUGCAGGACACUGAUCUCGCAAUUGCGAGAUCAGCCAUCGCAAUUGCAAGCUAUGCAGGGUCCGCUUUUGUCAGCCUUUAUUCGCAAAUGCGACUAGGAGACUAGGCCAGCAGAGUUCGCAAAUGCGAAAUAGUCAGGGAAGGGGGAUCAUCGCAAAUGCGACCAAAGGUUCACAUUUGCGACAGUAGCAGAAAUGCGGCAGGUUCGCAAUUUCGACACCAAUCUCGCAUUUGCGAGCUUCACAAUAGCGAAACUCAGGUCACAAAUGCGACAUCUGUAGCUGAUCAAAACAUAACUUAGAUGGGAUUUUUCAUUCAUUCUCCCAUUUUUCAAAACAUAAACUCCAAGAGGCGAUUUUCCUAGGGCAAGUUCUUCCCCAAAUCAUAGGUAAAUGAUUCUUAACUUAUUUCUUCCAGUCUAUUUCAUCUUUUUACAAGAUUUCAUCCUAGAAUCUAGGAUUUUUCAUGGUGGAAUUGGGUGUUUUUGGGUAGAAUUUAGGAAUUUCGAAAUUUGGGGAUUUAGACCUCAAAUUGAGGUUGGAUUCCAAGACCAAUCGUAUAUCCGGGCUCCAAAUUUCGAGUUUGGACCAAGCAGGCCCGAGGUCGGGUUUUGACUUUUUGGGAAAAAUGUUAGAAAACCUAUAAUUAUGCAUUGAGAUUGACUUCUUUAGCGUUUAUUGAUGUUAUUAAGUUAAUUAUGACUAGAUACGAGUGGAUUGGUGGUGGAAUCGAGAGGUAAAGCGGUGAUUGAGCUUUUAAAUACCCGUUGGCUUGAGGUAAGUGUUUGGUCUAACUUUGACUUGAGGGAUUAGGGAUCCCCGAAUUAAUUGAUAUGUAAAUUUUCGUGUGUGUGGCGUAUAGGUGUGGUGACGAGUACCUAUGCGCCACCAAAUUAUCUUUUUAGCUUGUUCCCUUCCUCGUUUCCUAUUAUAUUGUUUUUUGUCUUAAUUGCUGCUUGCUCAUAAAUGUUUCCAUGUCUAAUUGCUUCAUGUUAACUGUUAUUUCUCUAUUGAAGUAUUAAUUGUUUUGUAGUUUCAUUUUAUUAUCUUGUUGGUUAAAGUUGGUUAUUGGUGCUUCAUGGUACACUUUGGUUGGUCUCGCUGUGUAGUUUUAACUGGUGAAGUUUCAUAAUUGUAGUGAUAUUCCAUUGUGUUGGUUUGAGGUAUAAGUGUUGUGGAGGAUUUGAGUUAACUUGUGAAGCACUUGUCUUUAUUUUGUGAUUGGUGUUGAUAUAUAUUGGGAUCAGGUUGCACGCCGCAACAGGAGGAAUAAGGGUGAAUGUUGGCAGGAUUGGGUUGCGCGCCGCAACAAGGAGUAAUAAGGGUAGACAGGUGGGAUCGGGUUGCAUGCCGCAACAAGAGGAAUAAGGGUGAUAUAUAUAUAUUAAGGAGUAAUAAGGGUAGGCUAGUGGGAUCGGGUUGCACGCCGUAGCAAGGAGUAAUAAGGUUGAAAAUUUGUAUUGUUAUCGAUUAUAUGGUGGGAUCGAGAUAUGCGCCGCAUCAUUUGUUGUUUACGUAUUCAUCUUCUGUCGAGGUUCAUUUGUGGUGUUGAAACUCCCUUAAGGAUUGGUUAUAGCUUAGUAUUAGUAAAACGACUGAGUUCCAUAUUUACAUAAUGCCAGUUAUUGUUACAUUUCAUUCUUUAUUUCAUUUCUGUCUUAGUAUAAACUAUUAUAGGUUAUGUGUUGUUAUGCCCCGCCGUAGCCUUGUCACUAUUUCGUCGAGGUUAGGCUCGACACUUACCAAUACAUGGGGUCGGUUGUACUGAUACUGCACUCUGCACUUUCUGUGCUGAUUUCAGAGCUAGUGGCUGAUCGAGAGAUUGGUUGAUGUUACUGCUUCCAGGAGACCCAAAGUAGUCCUGCAGGCGUCCGCAAGCCCUAGCAUCCCUUUCUAUCUUUACUUCAUUUCUGUUUUACUUUCUUCGAGACAGAUGUAUUUUCUUGCAGACCAUUACUUGUAGUAUUCGUAGAUGUUUGUGAGUUGUGACAUCAGUUUCUAGGUGGUAUCUAUUUCGGCUUUUGUUAAUGGCAUAUGAGUAAUAAUUUAAAUUAUGUACUUCCACUUUUAUUUUCGCUGA
This 14420-nucleotide long non-coding RNA is filed under the name Nicotiana tabacum (common tobacco). RNAcentral describes it as "long non-coding RNA (NTAB_LNC001804)". The record is from RNAcentral. Lineage: Eukaryota; Viridiplantae; Streptophyta; Magnoliopsida; Solanales; Solanaceae.